This 464-nucleotide ribosomal RNA is filed under the name uncultured bacterium. RNAcentral's name for it is "partial 16S ribosomal RNA". It matches the Rfam family "Bacterial small subunit ribosomal RNA", at positions 29 to 507 of the family's 1533-position model. The record is from RNAcentral.
ACGAACGCUGGCGGCGUGCUUAACACAUGCAAGUCGAACGGAAAGGCCCUGCUUGCAGGGUACUCGAGUGGCGAACGGGUGAGUAACACGUGGGUGAUCUGCCCUGCACUUCGGGAUAAGCCUGGGAAACUGGGUCUAAUACCGGAUAGGAGCCAUUUUUAGUGUUAUGGUUGGAAAGUUUUUUCGGUGUAGGAUGAGCUCGCGGCCUAUCAGCUUGUUGGUGGGGUAAUGGCCUACCAAGGCGGCGACGGGUAGCCGGCCUGAGAGGGUGGACGGCCACAUUGGGACUGAGAUACGGCCCAGACUCCUACGGGAGGCAGCAGUGGGGAAUAUUGCACAAUGGGCGCAAGCCUGAUGCAGCGACGCCGCGUGGGGGAUGACGGCCUUCGGGUUGUAAACUCCUUUCGCUAGGGACGAAGCUUUUUGUGACGGUACCUAGAUAAGAAGCACCGGCUAACUACGUG